GGAAGCGUGGUGUAGUGUUUAGCGCAGCUGUUUUGGAAAUAUUCAUCGCGGGUUCGAUUCCGGCUGGUGCUA
Non-coding RNA from Caenorhabditis brenneri, 72 nucleotides. The record is from Rfam. NCBI's taxonomy places the organism in Eukaryota, Metazoa, Nematoda, Chromadorea, Rhabditida, Rhabditidae.